This 201-nucleotide unclassified non-coding RNA is filed under the name plant metagenome. RNAcentral's name for it is "partial contains small subunit ribosomal RNA, internal transcribed spacer 1, and 5.8S ribosomal RNA". The record is from RNAcentral.
UCUCCGUUGGUGAACCAGCGGAGGGAUCAUUAUCGAGUUUAUAACUCCCAAACCCUAUGUGAACUUACCACUUGUUGCUUCGGCGCGCGCUUCGGUGCCGCCGAGGACACUUAAACUCUUUGUUUUUAUAAGCAUUUCUGAGUGGCCGAAAGGCGAAAUACAAAUGAAUCAAAACUUUCAACAACGGAUCUCUUGGUUCUG